RNAcentral lists this non-coding RNA (21 nucleotides) under Caenorhabditis elegans. The record is from RNAcentral. Lineage: Eukaryota; Metazoa; Nematoda; Chromadorea; Rhabditida; Rhabditidae.
UUUUGAUUAAAUUUUUUAAGG